UGAGUAAGAUAUAGAAAGUAACAUGACACGAAUAUUAAUAUAGCUUACCCCUUCCCUAGCAUGCUGUUCGAUCAUCAGUCGGUAUAUCGGGACAGUGUACGACCUCUCAAUACCGGAUAAAUACUCCAUCUACAAAAACAAAUAUAGUAUGGUUGAUAACAUCAGUCAAUAUAGUAUACUUGCUAUUAAUGACAAGUUAUAUUUUAUCACAUGUUAACUAGUGGAUAAACAUAUGGUUGGUGAGUAAACGAUGCCAAAAAUGACAUUCGAUA
This 272-nucleotide long non-coding RNA is filed under the name Gossypium barbadense (sea-island cotton). RNAcentral describes it as "long non-coding RNA (GBAR_LNC015824)". The record is from RNAcentral. Lineage: Eukaryota; Viridiplantae; Streptophyta; Magnoliopsida; Malvales; Malvaceae.